This is a long non-coding RNA of Stegodyphus dumicola, 988 nucleotides long. NCBI's taxonomy places the organism in Eukaryota, Metazoa, Arthropoda, Arachnida, Araneae, Eresidae. The record is from RefSeq and is a predicted model, not a curated record.
ACGACCUCGUUGGUCAAUGGGCGCGUUUCAGUUUCGAUUUAAAAAUCGGCAACUAUGAGUACUUACAGUAGUAUAUCUGUUUAUUCGGUCAAUUUUAGUGAUAGAGAUGUUUUGAAAUUUUUUAAAUCAAAGUGUCACAUAUUUCCUUAAAUAUUGUGCAGUUAUAUAGUUUUUGAAAAAUACAGAGAUCAAAUAAUAUUAAUGUUUUUACUGCACUUGGAUUUAAAUUUCACCGCACUAGGAUGUAGAAAGAAAUAUGAAUAUAUUUUAUGAAUUAAAAUGUGUGUGUAUUGAGUGCUGCGUCCGGUAAACAUUCGAAGUUAAAACUGAGAAUGAUGGUAUAUUUUCUUAUUUAGCAUUUUGAAGAUUUAAAAAUUUUUCUUCCUCAUACCCAGUGCUUGUUACAUAGAAAGGGUUUUUAAAUACUUUUGCGUAUAUUUCAUAACUAUCUUUCUCUCUUUUUUUUUUUUUAAUUUUUUUUUUUUUUUUUUAUUUUAAAGCAGUAAUUGUUUCGAGCUGAUUAUCAUCGUAGCAUAGCAAAUGUUUUGCCUCGGAAUGACUCAGUUUUGAAAUUGAGAUAAGCGGUAUCCCUUUCGACUGUUAUCAAUGUACCGAUAAAGGAAGGAAAAGUAAUCGCUGGAAUGAAAGUAUGAUUAUGCGUCUCAAUAAGCUAUUUUGUGAAAGUUUGUGCUUGAGAAAUAUAUGGCACAAUCAAACUUCUUUGAGCUAUGCAUAAUUUAAAACUGUAAGAAAUAUGAUUUUGCUUUCAGUAUUAUUAAUAUUUUUUAGAACUGUUACGUUAUAAACUUGAGGGGAAAACAAAACGCUUUUUCAUAUAGAUACUUUAUUUUUACAAUGAUCAUAAGAAUCAUAUGGAUUUUGGUGCUUUUCGAAGCAGUUUUGAAUUCUGAAGCUUCAACUUGUUCAUCAUGGCUUACAUGUGGGCAGUGCAUUGCUUCUCGGAAUUGUACUUGAUGUUCAGAAUCGG